RNAcentral lists this ribosomal RNA (301 nucleotides) under uncultured bacterium. RNAcentral describes it as "partial 16S ribosomal RNA". It matches the Rfam family "Bacterial small subunit ribosomal RNA", at positions 509 to 807 of the family's 1533-position model. The record is from RNAcentral.
CAGUAGCCGCGGGAAUACGUAGGUGGCAAGCGUUGUCCGGAAUUAUUGGGCGUAAAGGGCUCGCAGGCGGUUUCUUAAGUCUGAUGUGAAAGCCCCCGGCUCAACCGGGGAGGGUCAUUGGAAACUGGGAAACUUGAGUGCAGAAGAGGAGAGUGGAAUUCCACGUGUAGCGGUGAAAUACGUAGAGAUGUGGAGGAACACCAGUGGCGAAGGCGACUCUCUGGUCUGUAACUGACGCUGAGGAGCGAAAGCGUGGGGAGCGAACAGGAUUAGAUACCCCCGUAGUCCCUGUCUCUUAUAC